Molecule: unclassified non-coding RNA, 173 nt
Filed under: uncultured Phialocephala
Lineage: Eukaryota; Fungi; Ascomycota; Leotiomycetes; Helotiales
Description: sequence contains ITS1
Source: RNAcentral
CAAGUGAGGCUACCGAACGCUGGAAACAGUGGUUAGGGGCUUACACCCACCCGUGUUUACAUACUAUUGUUGCUUUGGCGGGUCGUGGCCUCCACUACGGGCUCUGCUCGUGUGUGCCCGCCAGAGGACCAAACUCUGAAUGUUAGUGAUGUCUGAGUACUAUCUAAUAGUUA